UGGGGUUGCAAGAAGAGCUGGACAUGACUUAGGGACUAAGCAAUAACAACAAUUUAUAUACUAACUGUAAAAAGGUGAAAUUAAGUGGUUAAAAACUGUGUCAAAAAACCACCAAGCCGCCGCGACCAAGAUGGCUGAGAGAGUCACAGCCUUCCUCGAGAAUGUCUGGGCCAAGGAAGCUGUGCUGGUGGCAUCCUUCGCCACUGCGGGCCUCGCUGUGAUCCCACCCACACUCAGCCCCUACACCAAGUACUCGCUCACGAUCAACCGGGCCACACCGUACAACUACCCAGCGCCCCUCCGAGACGACGGGGACAUGCCCGACGUGCCCAGCCACCCUCAGGACCCCCAGGGCCCGAGCCUGGAGUGGCUGAAGAGACUGUGAGCGCUUCCAUUGACAGGGAGCGGCCCCCACCCCGAUGGCCCCAAUAAAUGCGUGAAAACC
Molecule: non-coding RNA, 445 nt
Organism: Odocoileus virginianus texanus
Lineage: Eukaryota; Metazoa; Chordata; Mammalia; Artiodactyla; Cervidae
Source: RefSeq, a predicted model, not a curated record